This 1062-nucleotide long non-coding RNA is filed under the name Gallus gallus (chicken). RNAcentral describes it as "long non-coding RNA NONGGAT008514". Lineage: Eukaryota; Metazoa; Chordata; Aves; Galliformes; Phasianidae. The record is from RNAcentral.
GGGAAGUUGAGUGACUGCAGAUGUUUGGGGGUUUUUUUGCCAAGGUUUUUUGCUGGAUAAGAGCCUCUGCAAGUUUGAGGAGAAGGAAGAAAAAGAGAUAGAAAGAAGCAUUGGAUGAAUAUGAGGGCUGUCAAAGGGAAUGCAUGGCUGGCCAGGAGUUCAGCAGUGUAGUGACAGCGCAAGCCAGGGGAACUGCUGGGGCACAAACCUCUGGGGGAGCAAUGCGACCAGCCAGCCCUGUGCAACUGCUUGUGCUAGAGGUGGUGGCAGCCCCAUGCCCAAGGCACUCCUCCAAGGCUGGGUCCUGGAGCUGCUUGAAGCAAGCAUCCAUACAGAAAAACACACAGAUCCCUGAGAAACACUUGGGGUACGUGGGGAUGUGUAUUCACCCCUGAACCUGGAAUACACACAGUGGCCAGCCAUCAAAGGGCCUGCAGAGGAAGGCUGCUACAGAAGGAGGAUCUCUGGGAAGUUUAUUUUGUAGAGUAUGGCUAAAAACAGGGAUGUACAGAGGCCCCAGGGCAAAGAGGGGAAACAGUGCUGCCGCAGUGGGCAUUUAGGCUGAGUUCCAUCACACACGCAGGCAGGCAGAGCAUCACUUCCUGAGGAAGGUGUGCCUUCCUCUUCCAUCAACACAUGCAUGCCAUGGGCCCCCCAUUCCAGGUUGACCUCAGGCAGUGCAGUGAGACUGGAGCAGGGAGCUGUGCUCUCCCAGUGCGUGUCAUUCACUACCAGAAUCCUCUGCGUGAGCACCAAGAGGAAAUGCUCUCCUCCUGCCAAGGCUCCCCUGGCAGAGGGAUGUCCCCACGGGCCCUGUGCCAUGUCAUUCCCCAUUUGCUAUCCUAUGGCCAUGAAUUUGGUAGGAAGGAGAAGUUACACGCAUGGAUCAUUCAGAGGCACUGCCCAUCAGCAAAUAAAAAAAAAAGCAAAUGCAGGCCCCAGGGGCUCAGUCACAUCCUGUCGGCUGGGAGCUGUUACUGGGGGCUCUCCAGCCCCAGCCCAGGCACUGCCAAAUGGGUUUUGCUCGAGUUCCACUGAGCUGAUGGAGGAGGAAGGGCUGUG